UGGUAAUGCCGGAUGCUCCAUCACACCGCAUGGUGUGUUGGGAAAGCCUUUGCGGCAUGGGAUGGGGUCGCGUCCUAUCAGCUUGAUGGCGGGGUAACGGCCCACCAUGGCUUCGACGGGUAGCCGGCCUGAGAGGGCGACCGGCCACAUUGGGACUGAGAUACGGCCCAGACUCCUACGGGAGGCAGCAGUGGGGAAUAUUGCACAAUGGGCGCAAGCCUGAUGCAGCGACGCCGCGUGAGGGAUGGAGGCCUUCGGGUUGUAAACCUCUUUUGUUAGGGAGCAAGGCACUUUGUGUUGAGUGUACCUUUCGAAUAAGCACCGGCUAACUACGUGCCAGCAGCCGCGGUAAUACGUAGGGUGCAAGCGUUAUCCGGAAUUAUUGGGCGUAAAGGGCUCGUAGGCGGUUCGUCGCGUCCGGUGUGAAAGUCCAUCGCUUAACGGUGGAUCCGCGCCGGGUACGGGCGGGCUUGAGUGCGGUAGGGGAGACUGGAAUUCCCGGUGUAACGGUGGAAUGUGUAGAUAUCGGAAA
This 532-nucleotide ribosomal RNA is filed under the name Bifidobacterium breve. Its description in RNAcentral is "bacterial SSU rRNA". It matches the Rfam family "Bacterial small subunit ribosomal RNA", at positions 161 to 703 of the family's 1533-position model. The record is from RNAcentral. Lineage: Bacteria; Bacillati; Actinomycetota; Actinomycetes; Bifidobacteriales; Bifidobacteriaceae.